Molecule: long non-coding RNA, 249 nt
Filed under: Nicotiana benthamiana
Lineage: Eukaryota; Viridiplantae; Streptophyta; Magnoliopsida; Solanales; Solanaceae
Description: long non-coding RNA (NBEN_LNC042225)
Source: RNAcentral
GCACUGAAUCAUCACCGACCCUAGGCCACAAAUCUCAACCACAGACCCAUCACCAAAGCUCACCGAUCCAUGUACGCUUUCGUCGAGGGAUGCAAGGGCUGCUUUGUUUCCCGUCAUAUGGUUACUGGCUCCAGUAUCUAGGUACCAUACAUUGUUGUCACGGCUGUCCGGGAGCACACGUUCCUCAUUGAGGUACACACUCUGCAUAUGAGUAUUCGGCAUUCUCCAUGAACGGGCUAAGAGCAAGGA